Molecule: ribosomal RNA, 253 nt
Filed under: uncultured bacterium
Lineage: Bacteria
Description: partial 16S ribosomal RNA
Rfam family: Bacterial small subunit ribosomal RNA
Source: RNAcentral
UACGGAGGGUGCAAACGUUGCUCGGAAUCAUUGGGCGUAAAGCGCACGUAGGCGGCCGACUAAGUCGGGUGUGAAAGCCCAGGGCUCAACCCUGGAAGUGCACUCGAAACUGGUCGGCUUGAAUAUGGAAGAGGGUCGCGGAAUUCCCGGUGUAGAGGUGAAAUUCGUAGAUAUCGGGAGGAACACCAGUGGCGAAGGCGGCGACCUGGGCCAAUAUUGACGCUGAGGUGCGAAAGCGUGGGGAGCAAACAGG